RNAcentral lists this long non-coding RNA (7293 nucleotides) under Olea europaea subsp. europaea. The record is from RNAcentral. Lineage: Eukaryota; Viridiplantae; Streptophyta; Magnoliopsida; Lamiales; Oleaceae.
GACUGGUUUUGUUGGCCAAAUUCCAUUAUUUAGGUAGUCGCUGAUUUUAAUUUAUUUAUUAGAAAUAUAAUUUUUUUUCAUAUUUAUAAAUACAUCUGAUCUGAACAGAAUUGUAGGCCCUCCCAUUGAAUGAUCAAACCCGAAUUUUUCAGGAUGUUGUGCCAACAUGGAAAAUUGAAUAGCUAUAUAUACAUAAAACUGAAAAAAAAAAUUAUGCGUGACUGUGAGCCACUGUUACAUAUAAAAUUGUUAGGCUGGCUGGUGUCUUUCAAUUUGUCAAUUUCUUUUGCUUCUAUAGUUGGUAAUUGGUAUUUCCAAAUUCCAGACUUCCGGUGACAAUGUAGUGGGGUGGAUUUCAGGAUUUGUAUGAGGAUUUUCCAAUUUUUAUAUUGUUAUUUAAUAUUUAUAUUUCUUAAUGAUCUUCUAGGAUGUUGUUUUUUGAUUUAUUUUGAUUCACCUGUUAUCUCUUCGAUAAUUGCUCUACAAGAGGCACGUAACACAGUUUAGAUCAAGUUUGUGAGUUGUGGCUAAUGGGUCUUGGUGCCUUAGGUAGUCUAAAUCGUAUAAAUAGGUUAUAGGUACAUGUUGAGGAGGACGAAACGGGGGUGAAUUACUAGAUUUUAGAUAAGAUCUCUUUUUUACUUUUCACAAUGAGUACUCAAGGUCAUUUUUACAGUUUGACACUUGAAGAUGAAGUUCACAUUAGUUGCCACUAUUUGGAAUGGUAAUUUUUCACGUUUUAGAAGGCAAAUCUCUUGGGUUAUGAGAGAAGUUUUAUUUUGGAACAAUUCUGCACGUACAAAAUUGUUUAUGCAGAAGAAAAACAAGGUACUCACAUGGGUUUAAAGUUUUCUUUUAAAUAUAAAAGUGUUAAUUAUUUAAAUAUUUAAAUAUUAUUACACUUGUAGAAUAAAAUAUUAUGUUGAAAGGCCUCGUAAUAAUUAAUCGCCUAGGACCUCUAAAUUCUCGAGGUCAACACUGUUUAUCUUCUCUAGAAAAACCAUCAAUUUUGGGUCUAUAUUGUUCAAAUAAAAUGCUUAAUCAGUUGAAUGCCCGAAAAAUAUAGUGUGGGAUACUGGACUGCAUGGGAAAGGCUGGCUAGCACGUUGAAAUUUUCCUUUGACCUUGAAAUUUUCUUUCCAUUUUUUUCACCAAUAUUGGCAGCCGCAAUCCUUUUGUUCGUAACUCCCUUUUGGAGUUGGACAUGAUUCGGUUUGAGAAUCGAAUCUGACCCAAAAUUUUAGAGUAUUUAAUAAGUGGAACUGUUGGCUCCAAAUUUAAUUAUGAAACUAUUCAGGUUCAGUUUGGUUUCAUUUGAUUUUCGGGUUACGUACUAUAAUUAAAUUUUUCUAAAAUUUACAAAACUACAUUAAUUCAACUAAUUAAAUAUUCAAUUUUAACUCUUACAAAAUAAUAUAGUUCAAUCUUAUUUGUCUUUUGCAUCUUUCUUUAUUGAGUUCUUCAUAGAUUUGAUUGUUAAAAUCACAAGAAGAGAAAGAUAGCGAGUUCACAAUAAUUAAGAGAAAUGCUAUCAAGUUUCAAUUCGAUUUCUCCAUAACAGUAAAACAACACUAUUAUAGAAUAACAAAUUUUGAUCAAAUUUAAGUCAAUUUGAUUAAGUUGGAAUUGGACUGAAAAUUAGAAAUAGAAAAAUCAUAUUUUUAAGUUUGAGCUAAAUUAACUAGUUAGCAAAUUUAUUUAGAAAAAAUAAAAGAAUUUGCCUUAUUUAAAAUAAAUAAAUUUAAAAAAGUAGGGUGAUUCGAUUUUUAUUCGGUUCUUUAGUUUGAAACAAGUCAAUUCUCUAUUCAAACACCCAUUCAGGUAUUUAACUUAAGAAGAACUACUCGUUCGGUUCAGUUCGAGACUAAUCCAGUUCGAUCGGUUCAAUUAGGGAGUUUUGUCCAGCCCAACCCUCUUUGCUGGAUAACACCUUCAAUUUUCCAUUUUCUUUAGAAAAUUUGAUCAAUUGUCUUUCACGUAUAGCGUUUAUGGUGAACACAUCCUCAAACUAUACACGAGAAGUUUUAAUCUCCAACAUCUAUCAAGUGUCAAUGAGAAUGAGCUUUUUGAUGGUAAUGAAUGUUUUAGUGGCCAAAAUUAUGUAAAAAGUCCUUAACGGCUCUUCGUCCUCGUAAUAAAUUUUUUUGACUCUGACUCUGCCACAACCCAUAGUAUAUUUAGCUAAGCUUGAAAGGUUUACUUAUUAGUAGAUGAGAAAUUUAUUUACGUUCUAUUUUGUACAAUUACAUAUGAAUUACUUCAAAAUAAUUAUUUUUUGUCCCUAAAGUAAGAAAAUAACUUAUCUAAACAUGUCUAGGAUCAGAUGUUAGCAAUAACUUUUACUUACUGAUUUUCCAAACAUGCUUUGCACAUUAUAUGACACGACAAAAGUUUUCAUCCAAAAUUAUUUUACCUCUCUCGUAAAUUGACGGGUGCACAAUAAAAGAUCCUACAAAUAUAUCUUAAGAAAUUAAUAAAUUAUAUAUGCCUGUAAAAUGUACAUAAAUGAGUUACAAUGUAGAAGCUUAGAUAGAGAUGCUCUCAAACUCUAGUAAGAGAAACACUCACUAGAGUUUUCUCAUGCAUUGUGGGCUCAUUCUUCCUUGUCUGAAUUUACUUUCCUUGGCAUUUUUGAAUUUAGAAUUGCAGAUUUUAUUAAAAUCUAUUCAGAUUCAUAAAUUUUUUAGUUUUGAGGAUUUCAAGUUCUUGGAGCCUAAAUUUCGCCAAAAUGACAGGUUUUCUUGGGUGUUUUGAAACUUUCACUUUGGUCAGAUUCAUGCAUCAUCCGUCCAGAAAAAUCAGAGCUUUGCUCAUCCUUCUAUUUAGAUGUUCAAGUUUUCUUUGUCUCAUCAGAAGACUUGAUAAGAGUAGCUUCUUGGAGCUUCUCUUUCUUUAAAAAUUCUUAGAAGUAUUGAAGACCGUCCACGGGAUCGGGUAUUAUUAUUUGUGUAAUUUCAAAGUUGCAUGCUUUGUUAAAGCUCCAGUAGCACUUCAGUUUGGCCAGUUUGUUCAAAAGAAAGGGACAAUUCAAUUUUCGUUGAUUUGGGCUAGCAGCAAGUUUAGACUCCUUACAGAUCAGCUGCCACUGCAACUCAUUCCAGGUAGGUACUCAUUUCACCAUCCAGCUACCUGCUUAUUGGACUCUCUUCAUUUGUUGGCAAUGUUUUGGUUGUUCAUCCGGCUAGCAUAUUGUUGGUAUUGCUUUUCAAAAUUCAUGGUGUUCUUGGCAUUUUGAUAUCGUGCAAAUUUUAAUCUUAUUUUGAUUUCCCAAGUUUUGGCCAAGCCGUUUAUUACUUGUUUGGACAAUUUAGUCAAAUUUCUUUUGAUAAUUUGAAUUAGUCAAAUAGAUCACGCAGUAUUUCAGCAAGGAAUAUGAUGUUUGUCCAGGCUUAAAGACAGUGAAGAAAAAGCAGACUGAUUUGGCGGUAAAUGAUUUGGUGUUUGUUGUUUUUAUUUUUCAAAUAGUCCAAUCAUGUGUUGACACGUGUGUAUCCUGUUUUUGAACCUGUUUGUGUAGCAUAAUUUUUCAACAAUGUUAUCUACUUUGUGCAGUAUUUGGUUCCCCAAAGUGGAAAAUCUUUUUUCAAAUGUUUGUACUUGGCUGGCCAAAAUUCAAAAUAUUUCCCAAACAAACUACUUGCAGUAUUUUUCAUUGUUGAUUGCUUUUGCAGUAAUAUAUUUUCCCGUUUUGGCAUAAAAUUCAAAAUUCAAACUUUUUUGAACUUUUUUAGCCAAAUUUAAACUCUAGCUUGAUUAGGCAGUGAUUUAGUCCCACAUGCAACCAAUAUAUUGAAUUCAUCUUGUUAGUUAAGGGUUAAUAAUUCAAAUAGUCACUGAAUUUUGUAAAAAGUUUUCACUGGGUCACUGAACUUUAAAAAUCACCCAAGUCGUCACUGAACUUUGCAAAAGGUUUACAUGGAGUCAUUAAACUUCAAAAAUCACUCAAUUUAUCACUAAACUUGUCAAAAGACUUCUAUGGGGUCACUGAACAUUGCAAAAACUUUCCUAGGAGUCACUUGGGAAAGUUCUUGCAGAGUUCAGUGAUGCAUGAGAUAAUUUUUAAAGUUUAGUGACACCGUGAAAACCUUUUGCAAAGUUCAGUGACCCCGUGGAAACUUUUUACAAAGUUCAGUUAGUCUGUGAAAACCUUUUGUAAAAUUCAGUGAUAACUUAAGUGAUUUUUAAAGUUCAGUAAUCAUUUCGGCUACUAAUUUGUUAGCUAGCAGCUUGCCGCCCAGUUGCUUAGGUUUUCAGUUUAAUGGCUGAAUUUGUCAGCCAUUAAAGAUUUGCUAGAUUAAUUAAGGUUUUCAAGCAGCUUGGUUGUCCAGCUACUUGAAUUAUGGUAACAGCAAAUGAGGCCUAUUUUGUCCAGCUAUCAUGGUUUUUAAUGCAACCUGCCUUGAAUUCCAGUCAAAGGUCUUCAAGGCAACUGUUUCGUCCACCUGGAUGCAUUAUAUUCCGGUUGCCUGCUUGUUGAAAGUCAAGUGUGAUGAAACUUUAAUUUUGACUGUAUAUUGAUAAAAUGAAUUACAAUACAACAACGAUUUUUUUAACAGAAGAAUCAUAUGCUCUAUAUAUACAAAGAUUGCAAAACUAUUUUAGGAAGGCAAUAUUGUUCUAGGGAAGCUAGCUAGAAUUGUGGUCGUGAGAUUGGUAACUGAUUUAGGGCUUAUUCUUGUGAUUGACUGGCUGCUACACCUUUGAAUCUCGCCUAAUUAUUUUUGUUUUCAUCUGUUGCUUAAUUUAUGACAUAAUCUCUAAUACGCCCCAGCAAAAUAGGGCUGCCAUCCGCAAGUCCAAUCUGGGUUCUUAGUUGGUCCAUUCGUUGCCUUGACGACUUUGUGAGAAGAUGUGUAAGCUGAUCUUGGAUAUUUACAUGACGAACUUUCAACAUACCUUUUUGAACUAUACCUCUAACAAAAUGCAGGUCUAUUUGAAUAUACUUCAUUCGGGAAUGUUGAACAGGUUUAAGGCUGAGUUGUGUUGCACCCAAGUGGCCACAAAGCAAUUUUGGUGGGGAAGAAAUGUUUAAGCCGAGUUCCUAAAACAGCGACAAUAACCAAACAGUUUCUGAUGCUGCAGUUACAAGAGCUUUAUACUCCGCUUCAGUAGAUGAUCUUGCAAUGGUCCCUUGUUUUUUUUUUUUAGCUCCAAGAGAUCAAAGUUUGACCGAGAAAGCAUAUGUAGACAGAUGUGGAACUUUUAUCAUCAUAGUUUUCGGCCCACUCAAUUACCAAACAUCCAGUUCUACCCACCAUUGAACCAAGUUGUGUGAGUCACACCUUCUGUGAUCCUAAAUAGAGAAGUGCCAUGCCUGAUAAGCUCACAGCUCUAAUGAGACACAGCAUAUGCGAAUUAGCUCUCCCACCACCUCACUGCAAACCAGUGGGUUGCAAAUGGGAAACAAUGAUGAUAAAAGUUCUACAUCUGCUUUCUUGGUCAAAAUUCGAUCUCGUGGAGCUAAAAAAACAAUGGGUCAUUGCAAGAUCAUGUACUAGAGCGGAGUAUAGAGCUCUUGCAACUAUAGCAUCAGAAACCAUUUGGUUAUUGUCGCUAUUUUAGGAACUUGGCUUAAACAUUUCUUCCCCACCAAAAUUGCUGUGUGAUAACUUCGGUGCAACACAACUCAGCCUUAACCCUGUUCGACAAUCCCAGAUAAAGUAUAUUCAAAUAGACUUGCAUUUUGUUAGAGAUAUAGUUUAAAAAUGUAUGCUGAAAGUUCAUAAUAUAAAUACCCAAGAUCAGCUUGCAGAUCUUCUCACAAAGCCAUUGUCAAGGCAACAAACCAACCAACUAAUAACCAAGAUUGGACUUGUGGUCAGACCAAAAAAAGACUGGAUGGCAACCCUAUCUUGCGGGGAUGUAUUAGAGAUCAUGCCACAAAUCAAGCAACAGAUCACAACAAAAAUAAUUAGAUGAGAUUUAUGGGUGUAACAGCCAGUUAAUCACAAGAAUCAAGACUUGUAUCAAUCAUCAAUGUCACAGCCACAAUUCUAGCUAGCUUCCCUAGAACAAUAUUGCCUUCUUAGAAUAGUUUUACAAUCUUUGUAUAUAUAUAGCAUAUGAUUCUUCUGUAAAAAAAAUAUUGCUGUGUUGUAAUUCAUUUUAUCAAUAUAUAGUCAAGAUUAAAGUUUCAUCAUAGUAUCGGAGAUCAUGCCACCAAUAAAGCAAUAAAUCACAACAAAAAUAAUUAUAUGAGAUUCAAGGGUGUAACAGUCCGUCAAUCACAAUAAUCAAGCCCUGCAUCAGUAACAAAUCUCACGGAAAUCGGACCCCAAGUCAUGGAGAAUGUAGAGAGUGAGAUCAUUAUUAGAGAUUGGAUUAUCAAUUAGGGCAAUUUCGUCUAUAAGUGACUUUACCAUAUGAAGGUAUUCUUGAAUGGUUUUGUUGUGUCUUUCUUAAUCAAAGUGAGUUCUUCUUUGAGUUGCAUAGCUCUGGUGUGAGACUUACUUUCGUACAUACUGUGUAACUUUUGCCAUGAUUCCUUUGAAGUUUUGGCAGCCGAGAUAAAUGAGGUGAUUAUGGUGGUGGUAGAAGCUAGGAUGGCACUAAGGAUCGGUUUAUCCUGUCUGACCUAGUGGGCUUUUUGAAGAGAUGAUUCAUGAUUGGCAUUGGGUACAGGAUAGGGGUGAUCACCAGUGACAUAAUCUAGAAGAUUAUAUUCGAUUAGAAGGGCCUCAAUUGUGAACGCUACUAAGGAAAAGUGGAAGGGGAGAGCUUGUCAUUUAGUUGAGCGCAGAUGUUUAGGGCAAUCAGGGGGUUUUGAUUGGGGAUGGUGGUGUUGAGAUUGCAAUGUCGGAAGUGAGGAUCGAAUUCUCGUUGGAGGGGACUGCUCCUGAUAUCAUGAUGGAACUUUAAUCUUAAAUGUAUAUCAACAAAUGAAUUACAAUAUAGCAUUUAAUUUUUUACAGAAGAAACAUUUGCUCUAUAUAUUCAAAGAUUGCAAAACUAUUUUAGGAAGGCAAUAUUGUUCUAGAGAAGUUAGUUAGAAUUGUGGCUGUGAGAUUGGUGACUGAUGCGGGGCUUGAUUCUUGUGAUUGAUUGGAUGUUAUACUCUUGAAUCUCACCUAAUUAUUUUUGUUGUAAUCUAUUUCUUGAUUUGUGGCACGAUCUCUAAUAAGGUGGCCACUUCAGAUUGUUGUCCAAGAGGAUUUGAUUCCGUCAAUAGUUUGGUACUUUAGAUUCUAGAUUAGCCACGUUUGUAAUGUUUUGAUUUAAAUUGUCACUUGGUUUGGAUUACUAGAUCGUUGGAUCUUUGUAAUGUUUUACUUUGAAUGCCCGGGUAUGCUUGGA